Molecule: long non-coding RNA, 1593 nt
Filed under: Homo sapiens (human)
Lineage: Eukaryota; Metazoa; Chordata; Mammalia; Primates; Hominidae
Description: HSALNT0098140
Source: RNAcentral
GCAGCUUGGACACUCACUCUCACUGUGAUCCUCUACUUUUCAGUACGUUCCAGCCCAUGCUCCGCCCCCAGCUGCCACCCAGCCUCUUGGUCACUGAGGCCCCAGGACUGGGAGCCCUCCACAAACCAGAAAGCCCCAUUCUGCAGACUUUAUGGGCAGAGGACAUUAGCAUCCCUGGGGUCAUGUGGCUGAGGACAAUUCCUCUCCAGGGGACUCCCACUCCAAGAGACAAAUUUUGAGGGAGGUAACAAUCCCCGGAGCCAGUACAACCUCACUGAACAAACGGCUGCCUUGUCGGUUAGCCCAGGCCUGGAGUUGGCCCUGGGCAACAUUGCAUGGGGUCUCCAGUCCCUGUGUUGAAGCUUCACACCCAUCUGGCUGCUGCCACCAGCUGCCGCUCUGGGACCCACCCUCCUGCCCUGCUCUGGCCUCCAAGACAGAGCACUUGUCACCACCUGACGUAAUAUGUUUUUACUUGUUCAUCAUGUGUUUCUCAAGAAGAAUGUGAGCUCCAUGAGGGAAGAAACUUCAUUUUGUUCUCUGCUAUAUUCUUUAAAUACUGCCUGGUACAUGAGCCUGGAAUUCAUUCUUUCAACAAAUAUGUGAUCUGCACCUAUUGUGGGCUAGUCAACAGCUGUGCCUUCAUGAAGAUUACAGUAUAGCUGGAAAGAAGAAUAAUAAUCUCGUAAACAAAUGAAUGAAGUUCUAGGUCAGGUGCAGCUCAUCCCUGAUUCUGGAUGCUCCAGUCACCCUCAGGUGAUGCCUGUUUACAUCUGAGACUGACCAACAAUGUCACAUCACUCCUGAGGGUAUAAGGUGGCCUGUCGAGGCAGCAGGAGGACCCCAGGCUUCUGGACCAAGAUGACUUAGCUUUAAAUCCUAGCAAGAAAUCUUACUAGGUCCAUGACUACGGUGGUGUUAAAAUGUGUCCAUGCAUUCUUUAACACUUCCUUCAAAAGUUAAAACUUAGUUCUCCUUCCUUUGGGUGUCUGCUGGAUUUAGUGAUCCACUUCUAGCAAACAGAAUAAAGUGGAAAUGAUGGCAUGUGACUCCCAAGACUAGGUCCAAAGCUUUGACUUUGCUGUCUGUCUUGGAUCACGCACUCUGGGGAAAGAGUUGCCAUGUCAUGAGGAUGCUCAAGCAAGCCCAAGGAGAGGGUCCCGUCGACAGAAAACAAAGCCCUGAGGCCUCUUGCCAGCAGCCGUGUGAGUGAACCAUCCUGGACACAGGUCUUCAGCUCCACCAAGCCUCCAGAUGCCUGUGGCACCAGCCGACAUCCUGACGACAGCCUCAUGGCAGCCCCUGGCCCAGAGCCACCCAGCGGUUCCAUUCUCCAAUUCCUGACCCACAGAAACUAUGAGAUAAUAAGUGUUUGUUGUUGUAAGUUGCCAAGUUGCUAUAAAUUUAAUACACAGCAACAGAUGACUAAACAGUAUCCUGGAGCACAUCACUUCACCUCACCAUGCCUCCAUUUCCUCACCUGUAAAACAGAGUUAAUAAGAACAUAUGUAUACUGCUGUUCAAAAGAUUAAAAGAAUUAGUAAUUAGGAAGCACUUAGCACAGUGCCUGGUGUAUAUUAAACUUUCAAAAAA